This 418-nucleotide ribosomal RNA is filed under the name uncultured soil bacterium. Its description in RNAcentral is "bacterial SSU rRNA". It matches the Rfam family "Bacterial small subunit ribosomal RNA", at positions 377 to 794 of the family's 1533-position model. The record is from RNAcentral.
CUACGGCUGACGCAGCGACGCCGCGUGUGGGAUGAAGCUCUUCGGAGUGUAAACCACUGUUGCCCGGGACGAACAGCUCGAUUAAUCGAGCCUGACGGUACCGGGUGAGGAAGCACCGGCUAACUCCGUGCCAGCAGCCGCGGUAAUACGGGGGGUGCGAGCGUUGUCCGGAAUCACUGGGCGUAAAGGGCGCGUAGGUGGUUUGAUAAGGGUGUGGUGAAAGUCCGGGGCUCAACCCCGGAUCUGCCGUGCCGACUGUCAAACUCGAGGACUGUAGAGGCAGACGGAAUUCCGGGUGUAGCGGUGGAAUGCGUAGAGAUCCGGAGGAAGACCGGUGGCGAAGGCGGUCUGCUGGGCAGUUUCUGACACUGAGGCGCGACAGCGUGGGGAGCAAACAGGAUUAGAUCCCCCUGGUAGA